ACGCUCGACACCUACGGGAGCAGCAGUGGGAAUAUUGCACAAUGGGGGAAACCCUGAUGCAGCGACGCCGCGUGAGUGAAGAAGUAUUUCGGUAUGUAAAGCUCUAUCAGCAGGGAAGAAAAUGACGGUACCUGACUAAGAAGCCCCGGCUAACUACGUGCCAACAGCCGCGGUAAUCUGAGCGGGCUGGCAAGGC
Molecule: ribosomal RNA, 196 nt
Filed under: uncultured bacterium
Lineage: Bacteria
Description: partial 16S ribosomal RNA
Rfam family: Bacterial small subunit ribosomal RNA
Source: RNAcentral